RNAcentral lists this ribosomal RNA (440 nucleotides) under uncultured bacterium. RNAcentral describes it as "partial 16S ribosomal RNA". It matches the Rfam family "Bacterial small subunit ribosomal RNA", at positions 338 to 795 of the family's 1533-position model. The record is from RNAcentral.
CCUACGGGAGGCAGCAGUGGGGAAUAUUGCACAAUGGGGGAAACCCUGAUGCAGCGACGCCGCGUGAGUGAAGAAGUAAUUCUUUAUGUAAAGCUCUAUCAGCAGGGAAGAAAAUGACGGUACCUGAGUAAGAAGCCCCUGCUAACUACGUGCCAGUAGCCGCGGUAAUACGUAGGGGGCAAGCGUUAUCCGGAUUUACUGGGUGUAAAGGGAGCGUAGACGGCAGUGCAAGUCUGGAGGGAAAGGCGGGGGCUCAACCCCCGGACUGCUCUGGAAACUGUACGGCUGGAGUGCAGGAGAGGUAAGUGGAAUUCCUGGUGUAGCGGUGAAAUGCGUAGAUAUUAGGAAGAACACCGAUGGCGAAGGCAGCUUACUGGACUGUAACUGACGUUGAGGCUCGAAAGCGUGGGGAGCAAACAGGAUUAGAUACCCUUGUAGUC